AUGCAAGUCGAGCGGAACAUGCAAGUCGAGCGGAACGAGAAGUAGCUUGCUACUUCGGCGUCGAGCGGCGGACGGGUGAGUAAUGCAUAGGAAGUUGCCCAGUAGAGGGGGAUAACCAUUGGAAACGAUGGCUAAUACCGCAUAACCUCUUCGGAGCAAAGCGGGGGACCUUCGGGCCUCGCGCUACUGGAUACCCCUAUGUGGGAUUAGCUAGUUGGUGAGGUAAUGGCUCACCAAGGCGACGAUCCCUAGCUGGUCUGAGAGGAUGAUCACCCACACUGGGACUGAGACACGGCCCACACUCCUACGGGAGGCAGCAGUGGGGAAUAUUGCACAAUGGGCGAAAGCCUGAUGCACCCAUGCCGCGUGUAUGAAGAAGGCCUUCGGGUUGUAAAGUACUUUCAGUUGUGAGGAAGGGUGUGUAGUUAAUAACUGCGCAUUUUGACGUUAGCAACAGAAGAAGCACCGGCUAACUCCGUGCCAGCAGCCGCGGUAAUACGGAGGGUGCGAGCGUUAAUCGGAAUUACUGGGCGUAAAGCGCAUGCAGGUGGUUUGUUAAGUCAGAUGUGAAAGCCCGGGGCUCACCCUCGGAGGGUCAUUUGAAACUGGCAAACUAGAGUACUGUAGAGGGGGGUAGAAUUUCGGGUGUAGCGGUGAAAUGCGUAGAGAUCUGAAGGAAUACCAGUGGCGAACGCGCCCCCCUGGACAGAUACUGACACUCAUAUGCGAAAGCGUGGGGAGCAAACAGGAUUAUAUACCCUGGUACUCCACGCCGUAAACGAUGUCUACUUGGAGGUUGUGCCCUUGACCCGUGUCUUUCAGAGCUAACGCGUUAAGUACACCGCCUGGAGAGUACGGUCGCAAGAUUAAAACUCAUAUGAAUUGACGGGGGCCCCGCACAAGCGGUGGAGCAUGUGUUUUAAUUUCGAUGCAGCGCGAAAACUCUUUACCUACUCUUGACAUCCAGAGAUCUUUCCAGAGAUGAUUGGUGCCUUCGGAACCUCU
RNAcentral lists this ribosomal RNA (1005 nucleotides) under Vibrio sp. 2d-6. Its description in RNAcentral is "bacterial SSU rRNA". It matches the Rfam family "Bacterial small subunit ribosomal RNA", at positions 44 to 1030 of the family's 1533-position model. Lineage: Bacteria; Pseudomonadati; Pseudomonadota; Gammaproteobacteria; Vibrionales; Vibrionaceae. The record is from RNAcentral.